RNAcentral lists this ribosomal RNA (468 nucleotides) under uncultured bacterium. Its description in RNAcentral is "partial 16S ribosomal RNA". It matches the Rfam family "Bacterial small subunit ribosomal RNA", at positions 28 to 507 of the family's 1533-position model. The record is from RNAcentral.
GACGAACGCUGGCGGCGUGCUUAACACAUGCAAGUCGAACGGAAAGGCCCUGCUUUUGUGGGGUGCUCGAGUGGCGAACGGGUGUGUAACACGUGAGUAACCUGCCCUUGACUUUGGGAUAACUUCAGGAAACUGUGGCUAAUACCGUAUAGGAGCUCCUGCUGCAUGGUGGGGGUUGGAAAGUUUCGGCGGUUGGGGAGGGACUCGCGGCCUAUCAGCUUGUUGGUGGGGUAGUGGCUUACCAAGGCUUUGACGGGUAGCCGGCCUGAGUGGGUGACCGGCCACAUUGGGCCGGAGAUACGCCCCAGACUCCUACGGGAGGAAGCAGUGGGGAAUGUUGCACAAUGGGCGGAGGCCUGAUGCAGCAACGCCGCGUGCGGGAUGACGGCCUUCGGGUUGUAACCCGCUUUCGCCUGUGACGAAGCGUGAGUGACGGUAAUGGGUAAAGAAGCACCGGCUAACUACGUG